AUCUUCCGCAAUGGACGAAAGUCUGACGGAGCAACGCCGCGUGAGUGAUGAAGGUUUUCGGAUCGUAAAGCUCUGUUGCCAGGGAAGAACAGCUAGGCGAGUAACUGCGCUUAGAAUGACGGUACCUGAGAAGAAAGCCCCGGCUAACUACGUGCCAGCAGCCGCGGUAAUACGUAGGGGGCAAGCGUUGUCCGGAAUUAUUGGGCGUAAAGCGCGCGCAGGCGGCUUUGUAAGUUUGGUGUUUAAUCUCAGAGCUCAACUCUGAUUCGCAUCGAAAACUGCAAGGCUUGAGUACAGAAGAGGAAAGUGGAAUUCCACGUGUAGCGGUGAAAUGCGUAGAGAUGUGGAGGAACACCAGUGGCGAAGGCGACUUUCUGGGCUGUAACUGACGCUGAGGCGCGAAAGCGUGGGGAGCAAACAGG
This 422-nucleotide ribosomal RNA is filed under the name uncultured bacterium. Its description in RNAcentral is "bacterial SSU rRNA". It matches the Rfam family "Bacterial small subunit ribosomal RNA", at positions 361 to 776 of the family's 1533-position model. The record is from RNAcentral.